This 575-nucleotide ribosomal RNA is filed under the name uncultured Bacteroidota bacterium. RNAcentral describes it as "bacterial SSU rRNA". It matches the Rfam family "Bacterial small subunit ribosomal RNA", at positions 790 to 1368 of the family's 1533-position model. The record is from RNAcentral. Lineage: Bacteria; Pseudomonadati; Bacteroidota.
GUAGUCCAUGCCGUAAACUAUGAUUACUCGAUGUGUGCGAUACACUGUACGCGUCUAAGCGAAAGCGUUAAGUAAUCCACCUGGGAAGUACGACCGCAAGGUUGAAACUCAAAGGAAUUGACGGGGGCCCGCACAAGCGGAGGAGCAUGUGGUUUAAUUCGAUGAUACGCGAGGAACCUUACCCGGGCUUGAAAGUUAGUGACGAAUCGUGAAAGCGGUUCUCUCUUCGGAGCACAAAACUAGGUGCUGCAUGGCUGUCGUCAGCUCGUGCUGUGAGGUGUUGGGUUAAGUCCCGCAACGGGCGCAACCCCUAUCAUUAGUUGCCAUCAGGUAAUGCUGGGAACUCUAAUGAAACUGCCCGCGCAAGCGGUGAGGAAGGUGGGGAUGACGUCAAGUCAGCACGGCCCUUACGUCCGGGGCUACACACGGGGGGACAAUGGCAGAUACAAAGGGCAGCUACAUGGUGACAUGAUGCUAAUCUCUAAAGUCUGUCUCAGUUCGGAUUGAAGUCUGCAACUCGACUUCAUGAAGCUGGAUUCGCUAGUAAUCGUAUAUCAGCAAUGAUACGGUGAAUA